GGCCCCCUCGCCCUCCGCCCGCGCCGGGCCCUCCCCGCCAGCUGCCGCCAUCUUGAACCGCCAGGCACUCUUCAAGCGCUCGGAUAGUCCCGCCCCCGCUUCUUCCGAUUGGCUGAGGCGGGAGCUCUGUCCCUAUUGAUCAAGACAUGGAUACUAUGCAAGUGAACAUUCCAAAUUGAACCGUCAAGUCUCAAAAGACAGGCUUAUAACCUUCACCGCAGAAGGCGCUAUUAUG
Dermochelys coriacea (leatherback sea turtle) is the source of this 235-nucleotide long non-coding RNA. RefSeq lists it as uncharacterized. NCBI's taxonomy places the organism in Eukaryota, Metazoa, Chordata, Testudines, Dermochelyidae. The transcript is spliced from 2 exons. The record is from RefSeq and is a predicted model, not a curated record.